This 497-nucleotide ribosomal RNA is filed under the name uncultured bacterium. RNAcentral's name for it is "partial 16S ribosomal RNA". It matches the Rfam family "Bacterial small subunit ribosomal RNA", at positions 28 to 507 of the family's 1533-position model. The record is from RNAcentral.
GAUGAACGCUGGCGGCGUGCCUAAUACAUGCAAGUCGAGCGAACGGACGAGAAGCUUGCUUCUCUGAUGUUAGCGGCGGACGGGUGAGUAACACGUGGAUAACCUACCUAUAAGACUGGGAUAACUUCGGGAAACCGGAGCUAAUACCGGAUAAUAUUUUGAACCGCAUGGUUCAAAAGUGAAAGACGGUCUUGCUGUCACUUAUAGAUGGAUCCGCGCUGCAUUAGCUAGUUGGUAAGGUAACGGCUUACCAAGGCAACGAUGCAUAGCCGACCUGAGAGGGGGAUCGGCCACACUGGAACUGAGACACGGACCAGACUCCUACGGGAGGCAGCAGUAGGGAAUGUUCCGCAAUGGGCGAAAGCAUGACGGAGCAAAGCCGCGUGAGUGAUGAAGGUCUUCGGAUCGUAAAACUCUGUUAUUAGGGAAGAACAUAUGUGUAAGUAACUGUGCACAUCUUGACGGUACCUAAUCAGAAAGCCACGGCUAACUACGUG